Non-coding RNA from Bactrocera oleae (olive fruit fly), 1393 nucleotides. Lineage: Eukaryota; Metazoa; Arthropoda; Insecta; Diptera; Tephritidae. The record is from RefSeq and is a predicted model, not a curated record.
GGCGCAAUUGUGUACAAAGAUCUGCAAUGCAAAGGAGAAAUAAGCUAUGAGUGUCUAUUAAAAAAAUCAGUGAAGGUAGUAUAUAUUAAUAUAAACUAAUCUUAAGUGUUUAUUUCUACUUGCAAGUCCGAAGAAACGCGCUGACGCCGACAAAUUUCAACUUUUAUAGUAGAUUGUUACAGCCAUAUCGAAGAAAUUUAUCUCAAAGACACGAAAACAGCGUUUCGAGAAAAAAAGUGAAUAAUUUUUUAUAAGCGCACUUUUGUAAAAACCUUUGAGCUACCAAGUUGCCCUACAGAGAUGAAAAUAUACUAAAGCAAAUAAAUUUCCUUGUGAACUCAUUUCUGCUACGCUGAGUGCUGAAAUUUCGCUAAUAUUUAAAAAUAUAUUAUUUAUUGUUUAUUUUGAAUAAAUUCACGCCAAACAUAAAUGAACGUUGAGAUAUGUGUGCGAACUGCAUUCCUCAAUAUUUGCCUAAUUUAAUAUAGUAUGCGCCUAUGAUGACAUUUGCAGACCACCUCGCACAGCAGCUGUUUUGUUUAUUAUUUUUCAUUGGCAUUUAUUUUUUUGUUAUUGUUUUGCUGCAUGCCGACCAUAAAUUCGCGUUGGUUGGUGACGUUUGUUAUUUUUCGCUCUUGUGGUCGUUUUUUGACGACGCGCACGCAAUCAUUAGCGUUUAUUCAUGACGUCAUAGCAUGGCAUAUACCGUUAGGCAUAAGCAAAGACAACAAUGACACAAUGUGUGUAUUAAUAAAGCAUAUUAAUUUAGCGAACAACACCUUGAUUGCUGAGAUGCUAUGCGACAGCAACUAUACAUAUUAUAAAUUGCUGUUGUUGCUUACUGCUUUGUAGAAUUUUAUAUAUUUUUUUGUAUCAUGUUUUGGCUGUCAUGCAAGAUUUUUAAUUAUUAUUAAUAGGAUCGUCGCAAUAAGAAUAAUAUAAAUAAAAAAUAGCAAUUUUUGACGUCAGCAAAAUAGCGUAUUUUAAGCUUUAAGCAUACAUACAUAUAUGCGCCCUCAUACCACAGUAAACCACGCCAGACAGUUUAAUAAUGGAUUUCAAAAUUUGCGAGAAGAUAGAUACUUGACUGUAUAAGCAAACAAGAAAAGCAAUAACUUCGGCUACAUCGAAUCUACAAUAGCUUUCACAAAUAAAACAACUUGUACGAAGAUUAUACCGUUGCCUUAUAUAAUAAUCCAUCCUUAAUUUCGUGCAGAUAUCUCGCCAAACUCAACAUUUUUCCAUACGAAAACUUUAUUUUGAUCGUUCGGUUUGUAAAACAGCUAUAUGCUAUAGUAGUGCAAUCUUAAACAAUUAAAGCAAUGUCUUGUGCAAUAAUCUGUGCCAAAUUUCGUAACGAUAUCUUAUCAAAUAAAAAAGUUUUCUAUACGAA